This 660-nucleotide ribosomal RNA is filed under the name Taiozyma odintsovae. Its description in RNAcentral is "SSU rRNA". It matches the Rfam family "Eukaryotic small subunit ribosomal RNA", at positions 286 to 957 of the family's 1831-position model. Lineage: Eukaryota; Fungi; Ascomycota; Saccharomycetes; Phaffomycetales; Wickerhamomycetaceae. The record is from RNAcentral.
GGCGAUGGUUCAUUCAAAUUUCUGCCCUAUCAACUUUCGAUGGUAGGAUAGUGGCCUACCAUGGUUUCAACGGGUAACGGGGAAUAAGGGUUCGAUUCCGGAGAGGGAGCCUGAGAAACGGCUACCACAUCCAAGGAAGGCAGCAGGCGCGCAAAUUACCCAAUCCUAAUUCAGGGAGGUAGUGACAAUAAAUAACGAUACAGGGCCCAUUCGGGUCUUGUAAUUGGAAUGAGUACAAUCUAAAUAUCUUAACAAGGAACAAUUGGAGGGCAAGUCUGGUGCCAGCAGCCGCGGUAAUUCCAGCUCCAAUAGCGUAUAUUAAAGUUGUUGCAGUUAAAAAGCUCGUAGUUGAACUUUGGGCUUGGUUGGCCGGUCCGCUUUUUUGCGUGUACUGGUCCCAACCGAGCCUUUCCUUCUGGCUAACCUUCUCUCUCGGGAGUUGGCGAACCAGGACUUUUACUUUGAAAAAAUUAGAGUGUUCAAAGCAGGCCUUUGCUCGAAUAUAUUAGCAUGGAAUAAUAGAAUAGGACGUUUGGUUCUAUUUUGUUGGUUUCUAGGACCAUCGUAAUGAUUAAUAGGGACGGUCGGGGGCAUCAGUAUUCAAUUGUCAGAGGUGAAAUUCUUGGAUUUAUUGAAGACUAACUACUGCGAAAGCAUUUG